CGGGGCGGGGGUGCAGAGGUGCCGGCGGGUUUGGGGGUCCCGGGGGGGGCUGCUGGGCGGCUCGUUCCCCGCAGGCGGCGGAUGCCGCGGGCACGAAACCCCCCCGCCCUGGAGCUGCCCCACGGGCUGGGGGUGUCGAAGGUGCCGCCCCAAGGCCGCGGGGCCGGAGCCGCUGCCCCGAGCCCGGCGGGCCCAGGACGGAGCGUCCGGGCCGGGCGAGGCGGCCGCGGGAGGAUCCUGAGCCCGAUGCCGGCCCAGCCGAGCGGCUCCUGCGGGAACAGCCCUGCCGGCUCCGGGAAGCAGCUGCGGGCGGGUUUCUCUUGCCCGCAGCGGCGAUGGCUCCAGCCCCGGGCUGUGCUCCGGGGUCCCGGCUGAAGGCGGGAGCGUCCUGCUUUGGGGACAGGGUGUGUGGGCUGGGCGGGGCCGGGCCGGAGGAGGCACCGCCUGGGCCGGGGAUGAGUGCUGGCAUGUAUUAGCUGAGCUGAGCUGAUGUCUCUCACCGCUUUAGCUCUAGAAUUACUCUGAGGCCCGGCAAGCUCCAGGUCCCUUGGGAGGUCUUUGGGACAGCCCAGGGCUGUGCCAUUUUGGCUGGCCCAGAGCUGUGCACCAGCAUUUUGGAGAGUCUGCAGCACUGCAGCUUCCGGUGGGGCACGACAGGUGAGGUUUGGGGUGACCCAGCUGCCGGCAAGGUCCCUCUUCCAGGGCGUUUGGAUCUCCAGACGGGUCUCCAGCCGCCUGGAAAGGUGUGGGUGCAUGUGUGCAGCUCCCUGGCGCUUCCUGGGCACCUGUCAGCUCCCGAGAGACUGAUCCGUGGGGUGAGAAAGAAAACAGGCCAGGGGCACUUGUUAGAUUGGGUCUUUUUGUGUCUGUAAAAUGCAGGUUUGGCAGUUGGUUUCAUAUUUAUAAAGAGGAUCUGAACAUUCUUUUGUUGUUA
Molecule: long non-coding RNA, 934 nt
Organism: Pipra filicauda (Wire-tailed manakin)
Lineage: Eukaryota; Metazoa; Chordata; Aves; Passeriformes; Pipridae
Exons: 2
Source: RefSeq, a predicted model, not a curated record